GCCCCCGUGGCGCAAUUGGAUAGCGCGAGUGGCUUCUAUCCACUAGGUUGUAGGUUCAAAUCCUACCGGGGGUACCA
RNAcentral lists this transfer RNA (77 nucleotides) under bacterium. RNAcentral's name for it is "tRNA-Arg". It matches the Rfam family "tRNA". From Rfam's summary of the family: Transfer RNA (tRNA) molecules are approximately 80 nucleotides in length. Their secondary structure includes four short double-helical elements and three loops (D, anti-codon, and T loops). Further hydrogen bonds mediate the characteristic L-shaped molecular structure. tRNAs have two regions of fundamental functional importance: the anti-codon, which is responsible for specific mRNA codon recognition, and the 3' end, to which the tRNAs corresponding amino acid is attached (by aminoacyl-tRNA synthetases). tRNAs cope with the degeneracy of the genetic code in two manners: having more than one tRNA (with a specific anti-codon) for a particular amino acid; and 'wobble' base-pairing, i.e. permitting non-standard base-pairing at the 3rd anti-codon position. The record is from RNAcentral.